RNAcentral lists this ribosomal RNA (404 nucleotides) under uncultured bacterium. RNAcentral's name for it is "bacterial SSU rRNA". It matches the Rfam family "Bacterial small subunit ribosomal RNA", at positions 29 to 416 of the family's 1533-position model. The record is from RNAcentral.
AACGAACGCUGGCGGCGCGCCUAAUACAUGCAAGUCGAGCGAGAAGACGUAGCAAUACGUUUGUAAAGCGGCGAACGGGUGAGGAAUACAUGGGUAACCUACCCUCGAGUGGGGAAGUAACUAGCCGAAAGGUUAGCUAAUACCGCGUACGCUCCUUGGACUUCGGUUCAGGGAGGGAAAGACGAUACCGUGGGUAGUCGCGCUCUUGGAUGGGCGUCAUGUCCUAUCAGCUUGUUGGUGAGGUAACGGCUCACCAAGGCUUCGACGGGUAGGCUGGUCUGAGAGGACGAUCAGCCACACUGGCACUGCGACACGGGCCAGACUCCUACGGGAGGCAGCAGUAAGGAAUAUUGCGCAAUGGGCGAAAGCCUGACGCAGCGACGCCGCGUGGGGGAGUGAAGGUC